CCAAUUUUUCCAACUCUUGGACUUUGACCCAGUAAAGUAUGGAUAAGAAAUGUAUCAGAUGGGUGUGAUUGAAAUUGCACUGAAACAAACAAAAUUACAUGGACCAUAUCUAUAUCUAUAUAUCUGUUGCCUUGCCGUAAGCUUCUCUUGUACAAGGCAAAAUGAUCAGGUUUGUGCUCAAGGGAUGCCUCCUCGGUUUUCUGGCGCUUACCACUCUAUUCUUUGCACAGAGCUUGCUUUUCGCCCCCAAUGGGGGGAAGAUGCAGAAAUUAGUUUAUGCAAGAGAUGAAGAAGAAUUUGCUCUAGCUUUUCCUGUAGGCCGGCUGGGACAAAGGAAGUUACUACGACAACUAGAGCGCAGACGACCACCUCAACCACCACCACCACCACCGAAACCGCCCCAAGGGCCAGGAAUGUGAGCUUAAUACCGCCUUCUAUAGAUAUGCCGUGUAUUGUUACAUAUCAUUAUGUGGCAUAAAUGUCAUCGGCAAAUAGCAAAAAAUAAAACAAUAUUGAUAUAUAUCCAAAUUGAUAUGAGAUAUCAGUUACUUUAAUUUUUAAAAAAUCAUUCAGAAUAAUAUCAGUUAUUUUCUUUUAAAUCAUAUAUUUAUGCUCA
Long non-coding RNA from Carya illinoinensis, 616 nucleotides. RefSeq lists it as uncharacterized. Lineage: Eukaryota; Viridiplantae; Streptophyta; Magnoliopsida; Fagales; Juglandaceae. The record is from RefSeq and is a predicted model, not a curated record. The transcript has 2 exons.